RNAcentral lists this ribosomal RNA (500 nucleotides) under uncultured bacterium. RNAcentral's name for it is "partial 16S ribosomal RNA". It matches the Rfam family "Bacterial small subunit ribosomal RNA", at positions 30 to 523 of the family's 1533-position model. The record is from RNAcentral.
AUUGAACGCUGGCGGAAUGCUUUACACAUGCAAGUCGAACGGCAGCACGGACUUCGGUCUGGUGGCGAGUGGCGAACGGGUGAGUAAUGUAUCGGAACGUGCCCAGUCGUGGGGGAUAACGUAGUGAAAAUUACGCUAAUACCGCAUACGAUCUAUGGAUGAAAGCGGGGGAUCGGAAGACCUCGCGCGAUUGGAGCGGCUGAUAUCAGAUUAGGUAGUAGGUGGGGUAAAGGCCCACCAAGCCAACGAUCUGUAGCUGGUCUGAGAGGACGACCAGCCACACUGGAACUGAGACACGGUCCAGACUCCUACGGGAGGCAGCAGUGGGGAAUUUUGGACAAUGGGCGAAAGCCUGAUCCAGCCAUUCCGCGCGCAGGAUGAAGGCCCUCGGGUUGCAAACUGCUUUUGUACAGAACGAAAAGGUUUCUACUAAUACUAGGAGCUCAUGACGGUACUGUAAGAAUAAGCACCGGCUAACUACGUGCCAGCCGCCGCCGUAA